AAACUCAAAGGAAUUGACGGGGGCCCGCACAAGCGGUGGAGCAUGUGGUUUAAUUCGAUGCAACGCGAAGAACCUUACCUACUCUUGACAUCCAGAGAACUUAGCAGAGAUGCUUUGGUGCCUUCGGGAACUCUGAGACAGGUGCUGCAUGGCUGUCGUCAGCUCGUGUUGUGAAAUGUUGGGUUAAGUCCCGCAACGAGCGCAACCCUUAUCCUUUGUUGCCAGCGGUUCGGCCGGGAACUCAAAGGAGACUGCCAAUGAUAAACUGGAGGAAGGUGGGGAUGACGUCAAGUCAUCAUGGCCCUUACGAGUAGGGCUACACACGUGCUACAAUGGCAUAUACAAAGAGAAGCGACCUCGCGAGAGCAAGCGGACCUCAUAAAGUAUGUCGUAGUCCGGAUUGGAGUCUGCAACUCGACUCCAUGAAGUCGGAAUCGCUAGUAAUCGUAGAUCAGAAUGCUACGGUGAAUACGUUCCCGGGCCUU
This 485-nucleotide ribosomal RNA is filed under the name uncultured Enterobacteriaceae bacterium. RNAcentral's name for it is "bacterial SSU rRNA". It matches the Rfam family "Bacterial small subunit ribosomal RNA", at positions 897 to 1382 of the family's 1533-position model. The record is from RNAcentral. Lineage: Bacteria; Pseudomonadati; Pseudomonadota; Gammaproteobacteria; Enterobacterales; Enterobacteriaceae.